AAAGAAAAACUGUUGAACUCCAGGUCCUAGGGGUUCUCAAGGUCCCUGGCUUGUCGGAGACAGUAGAAAACGUGGAGGGAAGGCAAGCUGCUCCAGGAGGCUUUGCAAAAGGUAACCGACCCUGACUCCAUCAAGGGCUCCAGUGACUGCAGCUAGGUUUGAAACUACCCACCUACGUGAGCCUGAAGGACAGUAACUGCCUUAGGAUACUUACAGAGCAGCUGUGCUUUUGAAGAGCUCCGGACUGAAGAGACACCCCUGGGGACAGAGGACUGAGUGAGUCCUGGUGUCCCUGGCUUGCGGCCCCAAGGCUCAGCAGGAAGUAAGCCUCAUGAGCACAGCCUGGGUGAACUAGAACCCAAGUGGCCUGGCACUGCAGUUCUGUGCUGCCAGGCUUCCAGAACUCUUCAACUCACUGUGGUUCUCUGGUAAGACCCCAGUCCUAAUCCAUCCCCAAGGCCAGCUUCCCAAGGGAAAACAUGUGUACCAUAGAUUUGUCAUCAGAAUUUUUAGGGUGGAAACCUGGGUUCUCGCAGGCACAACAAACUAGGUUUAACCAUUGUCUGUACUACACCAAUUAAAUACACAGUUAUAGCAAAAAGCAGAGAAAGGAGAUUUAUUCAAUAUGGUAACUUUGGGAAGAAGAAAUAAAGGGGCUCAGGGAUCCUGCAAGUCCUUCUUCAGGGUGUUGACAGGAGGAUUAGUUUUCUGUAGAAGGAAGGUGUGCAUGAUUGAGCAAUCCUGGUCAUGGGGCAGUCCCGUCCGUCAUUGAUUGUGUCUCUGCUCCUUUCUGUUCUGUAAGGUGGUCUGAUAACUCAUGUGAAAUCUCUGCCUGAGAAGCAAGUUCCUCCUUUGCAAAGGUUUCUUCCCCCCACCCAAGCUUCAGCUUUGCCCUUCUCCCAGCACAGUAUCCCUGGGGAAAUUUUAAUUCUUUCUGGUUGAUUUUUUCAAUAGUCUGAUAGCCAAAGGGAAAGACAUAAGCAUCUCUUUUUAAAACAUAUUCUCUCUGGGCUAGGGAGUGUAGGUCAGCUGGUAGAGAGCUUGCUUUGAUUCUCAGCACCCAUAAAACUGGGCAUGGAGCCCAGACCUGUAACCCCAGCAUAUGGAAGGUGGAGGCAGAAGGUUCAGAAGUUCAAGGUAAGUUUGAGACUAGUUGAUCUAUGUGAGACCUGGCCUCAAAAAUAAAGUUGAAUAUAUGAGUGUAGUCUCCCUCUCUCCUGUGUCCCUUCUUUCCUCUAUCCCUCCCAGAAAAAAAAAACAUCAUUUCUCCUACCAAGAGAGAUUACAGAUGCAGUCUCUGUGAGUUCAGAGCAGGCC
Molecule: long non-coding RNA, 1317 nt
Organism: Mesocricetus auratus (golden hamster)
Lineage: Eukaryota; Metazoa; Chordata; Mammalia; Rodentia; Cricetidae
Exons: 3
Source: RefSeq, a predicted model, not a curated record